RNAcentral lists this ribosomal RNA (497 nucleotides) under uncultured bacterium. Its description in RNAcentral is "partial 16S ribosomal RNA". It matches the Rfam family "Bacterial small subunit ribosomal RNA", at positions 28 to 507 of the family's 1533-position model. The record is from RNAcentral.
GAUGAACGCUGGCGGCGUGCCUAAUACAUGCAAGUCGAGCGAACAGAUGAGGAGCUUGCUCCUCUGACGUUAGCGGCGGACGGGUGAGUAACACGUGGAUAACCUACCUAUAAGACUGGGAUAACUUCGGGAAACCGGAGCUAAUACCGGAUAAUAUAUUGAACCGCAUGGUUCAAUAGUGAAAGACGGUUUUGUUGUCUCUUAUAGAUGGAUCCGCGCCGCAUAAGCUAGUUGGUAAGUUAACGGCUUACCAAGGCAACGAUGCGUAGCCGCCCUGAGAGAGUCAUGGGCCACACUGUCAUUGAGACACAAGCCAAACUCCUACGGGAGGCGACAGUAGCGAAUCUUCCGCAAUGGGCGAAAGCGUGACGGAGCAACGCCGCGUGAGUGAUAAAGGUCUUCGGAUCGUAAAACUCUGUUAUUAGGGAAGAACAUAUGUGUAAGUAACUAUGCACGUCUUGACGGUGCCUAAUCAGAAAGCCACGGCUAACUACGUG